Triticum aestivum (bread wheat) is the source of this 971-nucleotide long non-coding RNA. RefSeq lists it as uncharacterized. The record is from RefSeq and is a predicted model, not a curated record. The transcript is spliced from 3 exons. NCBI's taxonomy places the organism in Eukaryota, Viridiplantae, Streptophyta, Magnoliopsida, Poales, Poaceae.
UACUUGUUCUAGGAUUUGAUAAUGCGUUGGUGUCACUGAGCAUAAAUUCAGCAAUAUAACGAAUCGGUUCACCUAAUAUGGAUGAGCGGUAAGGCAUUUUAUUCACAAUAGUCUCUACUAUUAAAGGGGGAUCGAACGUCGUGAUGGUUCGACCUCCCCUCGUGGUUCGACCUCUCCAGCCUCGUACGUAACUUGUGCCCGUGAAGGAAAAAUCGGACCUCCUCACAACCCCUCCGUGCACGAUAGAAAAAAAGAAAAGAAAAUAAAACAACCCACACGUACGCACGUCCCAACUCCCACCUCCCACCCCCUUCCACCAGACCCCUCGCUAUCGAUCCCGUGUCUUGCAGAGAGGAAUCACCGCCGCCGGCCUCCUCCUAGAUUGAAGCGGUGGAUCCGCAUCUCUUCUCUUCAUCACCGAGUCCAUGAGGUGCUCGAUGUGGCAGGGGCGACGAACAGGAGUGCCGCAUCAAUAGCAGCGACGAACGACGGCCCAGACUUGGUGGCCGAGCAGCAGCGACCUCGACGCGGCGCAUGCGUGGUAGCUGAUGCACGGCACAGCGACCGCGACCAGGACCGGUGGCGGGAGAACGGCGACGGCUGACAAGACCUGGCGUGACGGCCAUGAAGAUAUCGACUCCGACGACUCGCCUCCGUUCAACAGCGCCCUGCUUUUCCGCAUCGCCUCCGUCAAGCAUCACCUUCUUUUCCGCGCGCACAGCACCUCGGUCACUGAAUCAUCGAAUUCACGAACUGCUCAUCGAAUUCACCCCACCGAACUCGAUUCGUAGGCACUACCGAAUCGCAAAUCCCAAACCUGAAUCAGUGGACUACGAAUCCGGUAACUAUGGCAGGGACUGGCAAGUGGCAACAUACGUCUGGUGGCGUAAAGGACGACGGGUGGUGGUAGGGCUAUGGGCGGAGCCGGUAGACGGAGGAGGUUGCAUGUGGAAAUCUGGCAUGUGGCGGCA